Long non-coding RNA from Oncorhynchus nerka (sockeye salmon), 698 nucleotides. RefSeq lists it as uncharacterized. The record is from RefSeq and is a predicted model, not a curated record. Lineage: Eukaryota; Metazoa; Chordata; Actinopteri; Salmoniformes; Salmonidae. The transcript is spliced from 2 exons.
CUUGAUGAAAGCCCAGUGUCUCUAUCUCAGAGGAUGUGCUGCUGGGAAGUUUUCCAGUGAUACUCAGAUAGGGCCUGCUGUUCAGAAGCUGUGAACCUGACGUUAGCCACACAGGAUUAAGUAGAGUGAUGUUUGCUCUUUUUAGGGGACCCACAGGGUUCCUUGUUCGGACAAAGGCGGUUCUGCAGGACCACAUAUCAAAUAUCUACAGCAAGCCACCCAAGGACAAGAUUGGGCCUGGGCAAUCUCUCUUCACAAUGUCAGUGUUUGCAUUCGCUCUCCUGGCUCCAGCUGGAUGGAUCAUGCACCGUAUACCAGUUUACCGCCAAAGACCCCCUCCAGAACCCUGACUGGGCUACACCACCAUGCAUAGUAUGACAUCAGUGAAACAUCAGCGAAAGAUAAAAACAUUGCCUAAAUGUAUCUUGUCUUAAUAAUGUAUAAGAUUAAUAAAUAUAUAAACAGAUGAAUGAAACCACAAUAAUUUACCAGGUGAAUGGUAUACUGUUUCAUAUUUUCAAAAAACAUUUUAUUCUAAAGAGGUGGGAUCAUGACAUGUAAUAUUUCAGUUGAUGGCACUGUAAAUGCAUUAUGGAUUCGUCCCUUAAAUGACCACUGCUUCUAUUUGUAAUCAUACAUCUGCAGUAAGUGCCAUCCUAUCUGACUCAGAUCAAUAAAGACACAGUUGGCACACUGUU